UGGGGAAUCUUAGACAAUGGGGGAAACCCUGAUCUAGCCAUGCCGCGUGAGUGACGAAGGCCCUAGGGUCGUAAAGCUCUUUCGCCAGGGAUGAUAAUGACAGUACCUGGUAAAGAAACCCCGGCUAACUCCGUGCCAGCAGCCGCGGUAAUACGGAGGGGGUUAGCGUUGUUCGGAAUUACUGGGCGUAAAGCGCGCGUAGGCGGGCUGUUAAGUCGGGGGUGAAAUCCCGGGGCUCAACCCCGGAACUGCCUCCGAUACUGGCAGCCUAGAGUUCGAGAGAGGUGAGUGGAAUUCCGAGUGUAGAGGUGAAAUUCGUAGAUAUUCGGAGGAACACCAGUGGCGAAGGCGGCUCACUGGCUCGAUACUGACGCUGAGGUGCGAAAGCGUGGGGAGCAAACA
This 402-nucleotide ribosomal RNA is filed under the name uncultured bacterium. Its description in RNAcentral is "bacterial SSU rRNA". It matches the Rfam family "Bacterial small subunit ribosomal RNA", at positions 355 to 774 of the family's 1533-position model. The record is from RNAcentral.